AGGACAACUCCUCUACGUACAAAAAGUCUCAUUAAAUCUCCACUUAACAACUGGAUUUGAAGAUGAACCUCAACAGGAACCAAAUCAAACAAAUAAGUUAUUUAGAUCUUUCUGUUUUGAAUAUUUAAUAUUUAACUGUGAAAGGUUGACAAAACACAUGUUUUAGUGCAGUUCACUUGAGUAAGUAGUGGGGAAAAUAAUGAUAAACACAUAAAGUUUUAAUUACAUUUAGAGUUCAGUAAAUAAGAAGGGCUAUGGGGACUUUUAUAGGGAAAAAACAGUACUUCAUUAAGUGUUACAUUGUCAUACAGAAUGUGCAUACGAUAUCCUAACAGAAAACUAAUGAGCUCAAGAGGCAGAUCAUGUAUUGUCAUUACACUGUCUGGUUGUUGCAAGAGGAAACAGUGAGGUAAAAUAAAACUCUGGUGAAUGCCGGAUUAAAAACUCAAAUAGGAAAAGCACAGUAGCAACUGCCUUCACGAUGCAAGAGGAAACACAGCCUUUCAGUUAAGGUCAAAUAAACUCUGGUGAAUGCUAGAUUAAAAACUCAAUAAAAACAAAGGAUAGUAAUAUUUUUCAAGUUGAAGUUUCAGAUCUGCUGUAUGUUUUGUUUAGUUUUUUUGUCAUUUAUGUUAUGUUCUCUGCCUGGAUGUUGCAAGAGGAAUCAUCUUCUGGGAAAAAAAAGAAGAAAAAAGAAAAAGAAAAACAGAGAUGUUCACUGCCCUUAUGUUGUGAAAAGAAACACUGUCAGGUAAAAUAUAAAUGUGGUAACAAAAACAAAACAAAAGGAAAACAAUCACAGGUGAGUAAUAGAACAUCUGUUGUACAACCUGAAGUUUGGUUUGAUACUAAAACUUUUCUCAUUCACUAAAUGUCAACUGCUAGGAUGUUGCAAGAGGAGAUUCACUUAACUUAUUUUUUUAAUUAUCAUUUACUUAAAGUUUUAAGGCAACGGGUUUCCUCAAUUUUUUUAAGUUAAGUCAACUUAGCACUUUUUACAGUGUGUCUUUCAGAAUCUUUGUUACAAACCUCUUUAAAGAAAUUACACUAUUUAUACAUGUAGUUGUUUAUAGGCUACAGUAAAAAAAAAAAAAGAAUAAAGUAGAUAUUAACAGAAUUUUUGUAAUCAUUUAUGUAACCAUUUAUUUCUAAAAGUGGUGUUAUGUUUUUGACUUACAUUUCCAUUUUUAGGUGACACUUCUGUAUCAAUCUGUAUUAAACAUGCCUGUAAAACUGUGCUGAAGCUUUUAGCGG
Molecule: long non-coding RNA, 1254 nt
Organism: Onychostoma macrolepis
Lineage: Eukaryota; Metazoa; Chordata; Actinopteri; Cypriniformes; Cyprinidae
Exons: 4
Source: RefSeq, a predicted model, not a curated record